Long non-coding RNA from Homalodisca vitripennis (glassy-winged sharpshooter), 709 nucleotides. RefSeq lists it as uncharacterized. The transcript has 3 exons. The record is from RefSeq and is a predicted model, not a curated record. Lineage: Eukaryota; Metazoa; Arthropoda; Insecta; Hemiptera; Cicadellidae.
UGAUCCAGAGGGAGAAUGUAUACAGUACUGUGUCCAAUACGUGCGCCCUUCGCUCGCGUCGUAACCUGGUUCGUAGUUUCAUCUUUAGGAUUUGGGCAUCCCAUAACAAGUCUGCCUAUUGAAGAGUAUCCUUGUCUCCAAAGAUUAUGAAUAAAGAAAACCACCCUUUGAUAAUGAACUUACCUUCAAGUUAUAUAAUAUUGUGUUAAAGUGUAUUGAUUUCAUUUGUAUACAAACUUACUAACUGAGCAAAAUAGAGUAACACUAUACUUUGGUUUGUUAAGUUAAUUUCAAAAUGGCCUUUACAAUUGUGUUCUUAUAGUUGGAGGUAUUUUAGGAUAAGAGUCAGUGUACUGGUGUACACCUGAUUUUUCUUUUCAGUAUUUGAGAAUAUUGAAUUACAAUUUAGAACACAAAGAAAACAAUCACAUGUUCUUGGUUGGUUUGGACAGAACUAAUCUCCUGCUUAGGAGAAUUAUUAAUUUCCGAGCCUAGCAGAAUGGGAUGUGGAGGGUCCUUCUAACAGCCAUUACUGUCUUUCGGAGAACCAAAAGUAAUCUUGUUAUCUUGGUCACGCAUAGUCCGGCGCAGCUGUAACACCUCAUCAGCCAGUCCCAGCAUUGGUUCGUCUCUGCAGAGCUCUGCGCCGGGCCGGUACAGUCGGUUUUCACAUCUAGUUUCAGCCAGUUUCAGGGCAUUUGUCUUCUCC